AAGAUUGCUCUAUCAGAGUGAGGUAGUAGAUUGUAUAGUUGUGGGGUAGUGAUUUUACCCUGUUCAGGAGAUAACUAUACAAUCUAUUGCCUUCCCUGAGGAGUAGAC
This 108-nucleotide microRNA precursor is filed under the name Oryctolagus cuniculus (rabbit). RNAcentral describes it as "microRNA let-7f-1 (ENSOCUG00000018624.2)". The stretch from base 13 to 99 matches the Rfam family "let-7 microRNA precursor family". From Rfam's summary of the family: This family represents the microRNAs (miRNA) let-7 and mir-98. let-7 was identified from a study of developmental timing in C. elegans, and was later shown to be part of a much larger class of non-coding RNAs termed miRNAs. The extents of the hairpin precursors are not generally known and are estimated based on hairpin prediction. The products are thought to have regulatory roles through complementarity to mRNA. The record is from RNAcentral. Lineage: Eukaryota; Metazoa; Chordata; Mammalia; Lagomorpha; Leporidae. RNAcentral also lists the same sequence under 2 other names.